Long non-coding RNA from Dermacentor silvarum, 1569 nucleotides. RefSeq lists it as uncharacterized. The record is from RefSeq and is a predicted model, not a curated record. NCBI's taxonomy places the organism in Eukaryota, Metazoa, Arthropoda, Arachnida, Ixodida, Ixodidae. The transcript is spliced from 3 exons.
UCUGCGGUGCUGCUUUAUUUAAAUGUGUACUAUAAUGCAAAUAGCUCGUGUGCACUCUUCCAGGUGAUAACAAUUAUUUGACACUUAUAAGCAUGCAUAAUUGCUUCUUAGGGUUUGGUGGCUGUUUGUUGACAUGUGUACAGCCCCAAGAUGACGAAAAUUAUGCUCUAGAGUAUAGUUGAAUGCUUAUUGUAUUAUCCGACAAUUAUAAUGGUGUGGGCCUUGAGUGGAUGCUGUAGGUUAGAUUCACAUGCGCUCAAGGUAAGUGCUCAAAUGAGUACAUAGACUAAGCGAUGAUAGCUUUGGUUGCAGCUAUAUAUACUUUGCUCACUGCGUUAGUGUAUUUAUGAUGAAGUAGCAGAAUUCACUGCUCAUUUAAAAGAUGCCGGUGUAAACAACCGUGGUUUUAUUUGUUUUAAGGAGAGCAGCCAGUUGCUAGUACUGUCAUUCGUUUUUAUAAAUUUUUUAUUCAUGUGUGCAGAAUCAAGCCUCACUGCUUGAUGUGCACAUUUGAGUGCUUUUGUUCCGUUUGCAUUGUCAACUGCUCUGCUGGUGUCUGCGCUUUUCCAGAACCCAAACAUGCUCGCAUUUAAGUUUAAGAAUGAUUCAAUACAGUGGCUAGACAGGGACAAGCAAGUCGAGAAACAGUAGUGUUUGUGAGUCCACUUGCUUGUCCUCGCGUGUGAAUGCGAUGAAACAUUCUUGAGUCUUCAUUAUAAACAAGGCUAAUCAUCAAUGCUCAUUAAGCUCAUCUCAACUGCAUCUUACUGUUGUAUAUGCCAUUUUAGAGGACUAAAGCAACUGCAAACAUCACUAGAAACAUAAUGUAUGAGUCACGUAUCACGAAUUUUGAAGUCUAAGGUACCCAAUUUAUCUCUUACUCGCAGUUUUGGCUUCCAAUGCGCAACAUUUCAGUAUUGCUGUAUCUUAUAUUUUUAAAUUUCACUGCAUUUCAUUUGCAGAAAGCCGAUCACCUGCAUCACAACUUCUUUUGGGCCUGUACGACCAAGAGGAGGAAUUGCCUACCCCCGAAAGAGUGAUUUGUCACACUUCGUUGCGUGAAGACAACGGGCCAGCUGAUGACUGCACAACACAGGAGUCUGAUGAUGCUGAGGCCUUAGGACCACAGCUGCAGGAAAGGCAGCAGGUUCAAAGGAAGCGUCGUUAUGCUCUAGCAGCUCCAAGAGGAUUGAGAGCCCUACAGUCUUUAGCAUUAGAGUUUCUGGCAAAACGAGAGGAACACGAAUUUCUGCUUCGAAAGGAAGAACUUGCCCUAACGAAAAGGAGACUCGAAUACGACGAGAGGCGUCUCAUGUUUGAAGAGGAAAAACACAGGUGUGAAGAGGAGCACAGAAGAGAAGAAAGGCAGCGGCUGAUGGAACGUUUGGAACGCUUGGAAAGGAUACGAAAUGACCCAACAUCCUAAAAGGUUGUGAAGAAUGCUGAUGUAUUUGAUUUGUGAAAUACAUUGUGCAAAAGCUUUCUAUGGUGUGUCACUCAAAUAGUGUUUUCAUGCCAAUUUACUAAACAUACCUUGGACCAACUCUUUCUCAGUAGCUAUCUGCACAU